GGCUAACGCUGGCGGCGUGUCUUAGCCAUGCAAGUCGAGCGGACUUAUGGGGUAACUUAUAAGUCAGCGGCGGACGGCGGAGUAACACGUAGCUAACCUACCCUCUGGACGGGGAUAACCUACCGAAAGGUGGGCUAAUACCCGAUGUAGUCAUCCUGUAUAGGGGUGAUGAAAGGUGGGCUUCUGUUUACAAGCUCAUGCUGGAGGAGGGGGCUGCGGCCUAUCAGGUAGUUGGUAGGGUAAUAGCCUACCAAGCCGAUGACGGGUAGCCGGCCUGAGAGGGUGACCGGCCCGAGGGGCACUGAGAUACGGGUCCCACUCCUACGGGAGGCAGCAGGCUAGAAAUUUGGGCAAUGGGGGAAACCCUGACCCAGUGACGCCGCGUGCAGGAAGGAGCCCUUCGGGGUGUAAAGUUCUUUUCUAUACGAGCAGUGCUAUAUAUAUGGAUAGUAUAUAUAGAGGGAUAGUAGUAUAGGAAUAAGCAACGGCUAACUCCGUGCCAGCAGCCGCGGUAAAGCUACGU
RNAcentral lists this ribosomal RNA (523 nucleotides) under uncultured bacterium. RNAcentral's name for it is "bacterial SSU rRNA". It matches the Rfam family "Bacterial small subunit ribosomal RNA", at positions 28 to 528 of the family's 1533-position model. The record is from RNAcentral.